RNAcentral lists this ribosomal RNA (787 nucleotides) under uncultured bacterium. RNAcentral's name for it is "bacterial SSU rRNA". It matches the Rfam family "Bacterial small subunit ribosomal RNA", at positions 8 to 796 of the family's 1533-position model. The record is from RNAcentral.
AGAGUUUGAUCAUGGCUCAGAACGAACGCUGGCGGCGUGCUUAACACAUGCAAGUCGCGUGCGCAGUCCGUAGCAAUACGGAUGGGCGCACGGCGCACGGGUGCGUAACACGUGGGCAUCUGCCCUCUGAUGGGGAAUAACCCGCCGAAAGGCGGGCUAAUUCCGCAUAAGAUUCCCGGGGCUUCGGUCCUGGGAUUGAAAGCAGUAAUGCGUCGGAGGAGGAGCCCGCGCCCGAUUAGCUAGUUGGUGAGGUAAUGGCUCACCAAGGCAAUGAUCGGUAGCUGGUCUGAGAGGAUGAUCAGCCACACUGGAACUGAGACACGGUCCAGACUCCUACGGGAGGCAGCAGUGGGGAAUCUUGCACAAUGGGCGAAAGCCUGAUGCAGCGACGCCGCGUGGGGGAUGAAGCAUUUCGGUGUGUAAACCCCUUUCGACUGGGAAGAAUACCUCGCAAGAGGGGUGACGGUACCAGUAGAAGAAGCCCCGGCUAACUACGUGCCAGCAGCCGCGGUAAGACGUAGGGGGCCAGCGUUGUUCGGAAUUACUGGGUGUAAAGGGUUCGUAGGCGGUGCGGCAAGUUGGGAGUGAAAUCUCUGGGCUUAACCCAGAGGCUGCUUCCAAAACUGCUGUGCUCGAGUGUGAGAGAGGCUCGUGGAAUUGCAGGUGUAGCGGUGAAAUGCGUAGAUAUCUGCAGGAACACCCGUGGCGAAAGCGGCGAGCUGGAUCACUACUGACGCUGAGGAACGAAAGCUAGGGGAGCAAACAGGAUUAGAUACCCCAGUAGUCC